Molecule: long non-coding RNA, 526 nt
Organism: Saccostrea cuccullata (small rock oyster)
Lineage: Eukaryota; Metazoa; Mollusca; Bivalvia; Ostreida; Ostreidae
Exons: 3
Source: RefSeq, a predicted model, not a curated record
AGCCUCCCCUUUUAAAGAUCCAAAAUGGUGAUUUUACAGUGCAGCAUGCAGUGUGGUCAACAACGGAGAGUUUUGACACCCGUGAUACCCAUAUUUCCACCAUUCACCUCUGUAACCUUUGUUGAGUUCAUCAGACAGUCCAAGACAGGAAGUUGAGGAAUAAAGUUGACAGGACAUCCUGAACUGUCCUCGGUACUAGCUUAUGAGGGAACCAGCCGCAGUGGACAAAGCACGUUACAUCAUAGGAUAAUAGCAUUGAAAUGCAUUCUUGAACCAGAGCCAUGUGAACCUGGUCCACCUGUACCUCUCAUUGAAGACCUGUUAACAUCACCAGAGUAUGUUCAUUCUGAUACCCCUAUGGUAUGGUUACGACAUGCAUUAUCCCUGUCAGAUGAAGCCAUUAAAAGAGCUGCAUUGGCAACAAUUGGGCAACGAAACAACCCAAUGUGGUCGAUUGUAAGGAAAUACAGAAUAACAGCUUCCAACUUUGGUGCAGUUCUCAGUUCUAAGCAAAGGCGGUGAUUAA